GAUGGAUUCAUGACAAAAUUGUGUUUUGGUGAUGGUGAUGUGUUUGUAGAUCUUACUUUACUAAACAUUCUUGCUGCUUACAAUUAUCUCUAUCUAUAACAGUACUUUCUGUGGAAAAUGUUAUUGAAAAUCUUCAAAUUUUAAGAAAAUUAUUAAAAAUUGACUAUGAAGGGCAAUAACUCCUUAGGGGGUCAAUUGACUAUUUUGGUCAUACUGGCUUAUUUUUAUUUCUUAC
RNAcentral lists this long non-coding RNA (235 nucleotides) under Mytilus galloprovincialis (Mediterranean mussel). Lineage: Eukaryota; Metazoa; Mollusca; Bivalvia; Mytilida; Mytilidae. The record is from RNAcentral.